Molecule: small nucleolar RNA, 135 nt
Organism: Spermophilus dauricus (Daurian ground squirrel)
Lineage: Eukaryota; Metazoa; Chordata; Mammalia; Rodentia; Sciuridae
Source: Ensembl
CCACAAAAUAUCUUGCUAGGAGGCCGAUCCCCUUGGGCCUCUUAUAGUGUCCUAUGCUAGAGCCAACUGUGACCCCGAACCAUUGCUUGGCCUCUGUGUCUGUAGGCUGCUGGAACUGAAGUGUGUUGCACAGCG